This 245-nucleotide ribosomal RNA is filed under the name uncultured Bacillota bacterium. RNAcentral describes it as "uncultured Firmicutes bacterium partial 16S ribosomal RNA". It matches the Rfam family "Bacterial small subunit ribosomal RNA", at positions 524 to 769 of the family's 1533-position model. Lineage: Bacteria; Bacillati; Bacillota. The record is from RNAcentral.
UACAUAGGGGGCAAGCGUUAUCCGGAAUUAUUGGGCGUAAAGCGUGUGUAGGCGGUUUAUUAAGUCUGACGUAAAAUCCCGUAGCUUAACUACGGCUGGCGUUGGAAACUGGUAGACUAGAGUACGGUAGGGGUAAGUGGAAUUCCAAGUGGAGCGGUGGAAUGCGUAGAGAUUUGGAGGAACACCAGUGGCGAAGGCGGCUUACUGGGCCGUUACUGACGCUGAGACACGAAAGCGUGGGGAGC